This 489-nucleotide long non-coding RNA is filed under the name Anser cygnoides (Swan goose). Its description in RNAcentral is "lncRNA (ENSACDG00005013762.1)". Lineage: Eukaryota; Metazoa; Chordata; Aves; Anseriformes; Anatidae. The record is from RNAcentral.
GAUGUUCGGGGAGCCCUUUGCGGCAUGGAGGUGGCUGGCGGUGGGAGAGCGAGUAUGCGGUCCAUAUUGUUCCAGGCGGUCUGCGAGGGCUGCCUUCUCCGAAGAUUCUCGGCCCCACCCCCUCCCCGAGCGAUUUUGCGGUGGCCGCGGAGGAGCUGCUUGGAGCUGGGCUGCCGCGCAAUAUGGAAGGCUGCGCGCCGCGCAUUGUGCGGCUCGCCCAUUGUCUGCCUGCUGCCGGCUCGGGCCGGGGGCCGGCCGCGGCUGCUGCUCGGCCCCGGCGCGGCCUCCUUCCCCUGGGCUCCCCUGUCCCCAGGAGCUGGGCUUGGGAGGGGACUGUAAAGAAUGGAGAAACGUGACCCGUUUCUUCAGAGUGGAAACAGGAUUCACCUGGAGUGGGUGGGUUUCUUCUUCCCUGUUCUAAGUGGAGCAUGAGUUUCGACAGAUCAGUCGAUCUGUCUAUCUAUCUGUAUCUCAUUCUGCCUUCUCUUC